CCGCAGACGGCUUUGCGGCUCUUUUCCCCUCCUACUUGAUUUACGGUUCCUCCUCCGGUCUGUCUGUUUUUGCGGUCCGGCGCUGGGCGUGGGUUGGGACCUGCUUCCCACAGACCCUCGCACACCCUUCCCAUUCUCCUCUGCGCGGCUUCCAUCUAAGCGCUCUUCCCCUUGUCCGUAGCCUAGAUCGAGCUCCCUGCGUGCACCGCGCGCUGCCGGAGGCGCAGGUCAACCAGAGUCAAGAUGUCUGGGACUGAGGAAGCGGUUCUCCGAGGACGCGAAAGCCAUCCUGCUGCUGGCAGCGGCGCCGUGUUAUGCUUUGGACAGUGCCAGUACACAGCAGAAGAGUACCAGGCCAUCCAGAAGGCCCUGAGGCAGAGGCUGGGCCCAGAAUACAUAAGUAGCCGCAUGGCUGGAGGCGGCCAGAAGGUGUGUUACAUUGAGGGUCAUCGAGUAAUUAAUCUGGCCAAUGAGAUGUUUGGUUACAACGGCUGGGCACACUCCAUCACGCAGCAGAAUGUGGAUUUUGUUGACCUCAACAAUGGCAAGUUCUACGUGGGAGUCUGUGCAUUUGUGAGGGUCCAGUUGAAGGAUGGUUCAUAUCACGAAGACGUUGGUUAUGGUGUUAGUGAGGGCCUCAAGUCCAAGGCCUUAUCUCUGGAGAAGGCAAGGAAGGAGGCGGUGACAGAUGGGCUGAAGCGAGCCCUCAGGAGUUUUGGAAAUGCACUUGGAAACUGUGUUCUGGACAAAGACUACCUGAGGUCCCUCAACAAGCUUCCACGCCAGUUGCCUCUUGAAGUGGAUUUAAGUAAAGCGAAGAGACAAGAUUUUGAACCAUCUGUGGAAGAGGCAAGAUCUAACAGCUGCCGACCGAACAUGGCCCCGGGACACCCACAGCUACGGGAGGUGACCUCCCCUUCCAGACCAAGCCAUGCUGUGAUCCAGGGGGACAAGGACUGCAGCUCCCGGUAUGCGGCCCAAGUCCCCUUCCUUUCCUCUCGGCCCCUCCUGUGUCCUUGGGGCUGCCUCCACUGCCUCCUUCAGCGCCGGCCAGCCGCGUGCGUGCUCCCAGGAGCCAUGGCUGUUACUCAGGGGCUCCUCUCUCCGUUGGUCCUCUCAUGCAGAAGCCCGACUUCAUCCACCGUGGAGAGCGAGGCCACGUACCAGCGGAAGCUCCGGCAAAAGCAGCUGCAGCAGCAGUUCCGGGAGCGGAUGGAGAAACAGCACGUUCACGUCUCCACGCCGUCAAUUGAGAAGCGUGAGGCAGCGCCUCCGGCCCCUCCUCUGACGCACAGCACUCCUGUCACUGCCGUCGCAGAACCACUCCUGGAGAAAGACUUCCUGGCAGGAGUGACUCAAGAACUAAUCAGUAAAUACCUUGAAAUGCUUAGACUCUUGAAGACAACUCUGAAAAGUGGGCUGUGACUUCACAUGCAGGGGAUGGUGUGGUCAAGCCCUCGUCUAGAGCAGACCCAGCCCAGACUGCUGACACACUAGCCUCGAACCACCAGAUGGUGACCCAGAACGGGACUCCACACAGCCUUUGUCACCAGAAACCACAAGCAAAAUCUGGAUCUUGGGACCUCCAGACUUACAGCACUGACCAACGCCUAACAGGAAACUGGGAGUCUCAUAGGAAGAGCCAGGACAUGAAGAAAAGGAAAUACGAUCCAUCUUAACUGAGGCGCAGGCCACGUGAGUGGACUCUGUCACAAAGGGACUUUGGAAAACUGCUUUUUCGUCAUGAAAUCGUUCAUCUCUCCUGGAGAAUGAACUUGAUUGCAAUUUAGCUUGCUUCAUUCUGAACCUUACCAAGAGGAUCUGAGAGCGCACUGCAGUUAGAGCUGAGCACUUUUGGAAAGCUGGUCUGCCACUCUGGUAGGGAGAGGCUCGCGACAGAUGAAAUAGCUUUUCUGUGGCUUGUGAGGCUUCCCACUAUUUAUUACUAAACUAUUAUGUUAAUACAGAUGGACAUUUCAGGAAUCACCAAUGGCUCCCUGCCCUCAAGCAACAUAGGCCGGACCUGGCCCUAAGCACCUGCCUCAGCAAUUGCCUACAUUCAGCUGUUUUGCAUAACAUCUGCCUUCUUUCCUUUAGGGUCCACGCCUUUAACGCUGUCCACAUUACACACUGUCGAUCACGGCAGGAAAAAGGUUGGAGUAGUGCUUUUACUAGUUCGUAUCAAUCCAGGUUACAGUCGUCAUUUUAUAUAAACUCUAAUUUAUGGGAUUACGACGUUACAAUCCUGCAUUCUUUGAAGACUUCAAGACUGACAUUUUUUUCCUAAGGAAGGAAAUAAUCAUCUAAGACUAAGAAAAAAGGCUUUUUUGUUUGUUUGUUUUUGAGACAGAGUCUUGCUGUGUUACCCGGACUGGAGUUCAGUGGUGCAAACACAGCUCAACCUCCUGGGCUCAAGUGAUCCUCCCACCUCUGCCUUACAAAAUACAGGGAUUACUGGUGUGAGCCACUGUGGCCAGAAAAGGCAUUUUUGAGAAAGCAAAUCGUAUACCUUAUAACAAAAUAGAAUAUAUAUAUUGCAUAGCCCCUUACCUGAAACGCUUGAAACCAGAAUUGUGCAUUUUUUGAGUAUUUGUAUAUACGUAGUGAGACCCUGGGGAUGGGACUUCACCUGUGUUUCAUAUAUGUACCUCAUACACAUAAUUUUUUGCAUGAAACAACGCUUGUGUAUAAGAGAUACUGCAGCUGAAGGGGACUAGGUCUUUUUUUUCUCUUAGGGUCACUGAAUAAGCUUGUAUGCCUGGUGCUUUGCGACUUGUCACACGAGGUCAUGUGUGGAAUUUUCCACUUCUGGCAUCAUGUCAGUGCUCAGAUAUUUUCGGAUCUCGGAGCAUUUCAAUUAGGGGGAUACUCAAACACAACUGUUUCUACUUCCCCAUUUCAGAUGUGAGAUGUAACCCACUUUGACCAUAAAUUGGCUUUUCAUAGUGUUCCGAUGUUUCAUAAUUCUCCCCAAAUAAUGAAGUUUGCAAUUUUACUUUUUUUUUUUUUUCCCCAAAGGUGUCUGGCUCUGUAGCCCAGGCUGCAGUGCAGUGGCGUGAUCUUAGCUCAUUGCAACCUCCGCCUGCUGGGAUUCAGGUGAUUCUCCCGCCUUAGGCUCCCGCGUAGCUGGGAUUACAGGCACCCACCAAGACGCCCGGCUAAUUUUUGUAUUUCUGGUAGAGGAGACGGGGUUUCUCCAUGUUGACUAGGCUGGUCUCAAACUCCUGACCUCAAGUGAUCUGCCUGCCUUGGCCUCCCAAAGCGCCGGACUCACAGGCAUGUCACCGCAUCCAGCCACUUUUUAAGACUUAUUUUGGGGCUUGGCUGUGCCUAAUCUUGAAGCAGUGACUUGUUAUUUUUUGGCUCACAGACCCAUUUGGGAAGCUGUGGACCUGAGAUAAGGAAGUCUGAAAGUACUAGCCGGCAGCCGACCAUUUCUAUUCCUUUGGAAGAUGAAGAGGCAGCAAAAGAGCUCCCAGGAAUUAGGAAUCCAGUUAUAAAUUGCACUUAACUCAAAACAGUGCCAAUGUGAAUGUGAAGGAAUUUUCUGGAAAUGAAACCCCGCAGCUCAACAAAAGCAAGUUUGGUUUAUUUGAAUGGUUUCAUUAAAUAAGUCUACAAAGGUAACAAACUGAAGCACAAAGCGCAAUCUUACAAGAAGCGCAACACCCAGAGUUAGUGCAAAAUGUACAAUUAACGGCUGCUGAGAAACCCCCGAAGUUUGAGUUUUUAUUAUUUUUAAACAGUGUACAUUGUUAAAUAAUGUAAGGAAAACAUUUCUAAUUCAGAAAGUUUUUAAUGUGGAAAAAGAUACUCAAAGUGUACUAUUAACACAAAAAUAAUUUAAACAGUUCAGUAGCACUAGUUCAUUCCUCUAGGCUUCAGUUAUUUCAUCCACAGGAGGAUGAAAUCAACAGUAAAUAAACCAGUUCUGACUUUUUGUGCAUGAGUGAAAAGAUGUCAAAAUUAUUAAACCCAAAGAACAAAUGAGAAUGUGCCGCAUCAGGCUCCCUGCGCCUCUGUAUAAAGGAUGUUUCACUCUUAGGCGGCCCCUUUCUCAGCUACUCAGCCCCUGCUUGGUUCUAUCCUUACUCUCUCCACAAGAAAUAAUAUAAGCAGAGAAUAAAUAAGUCAAUCGUUUUACAGCAGGGGUUGAAGCCCCUGCCCCUUUUCCUUUCUACCUUUUAAAACCCUUCGGCUCUCAUUUGCAUAUUUAGGGCCAUAGACCAACUUAAUAAGGGAAGCAGGGCCCUUAAGGAAUGAACAGGGCACGGGAGCCUCCAGCCUCUUUCUGUGGUGGUGGUGGUGGUGGUGAUUUCCGGAAUAUGCCAUUGACGUGGGUAAAAGGUUGGAAAUAUUUUCAGUUUCCCAACUAAGAGUCAAUAAGCACCCCAACAUUAAGAGUCCUAGCUUCUUUGUCUGUCUUCAGAGAUAGCAAAGAUCCUAAACCUAGCCAAUUAGGACAGUAUUUCCGGAAAGCUCUGAAAAUAAUAACUACCCAUUACACGUAGGCAUAGCACUAAAUAACACUGAUUGGUUGCAGUUAUUACUUACGGGGAAUAUUUAUUUGAAAAUGUGAACAUAUUAGUUGUACUUCUAGAAAUAAAGGUGGCACAAUAGAUGAUGAUCCUGCAACCAUUUGGACAUCAUAAAGGAAAUGAGUAGGAAUAAGUAUUCUUUCCUACAAUGAGUAAUUCAGACGUGGAAAGAUUCAGAUGUGGAAAGAUUCACUUUCCACAAAAUAUAGUACCCCAAGCUGAGAAAUGCAUGGCACAUGUGCAACAAAGGAAAACAAUCCAAACAGUUUUUCUGAGAGCAACUUUCUCCAUCUGUGACUUUUCACUAUCAGGUUCCCCAACUUGAAAACUAGCCCCCACCCCCUUCUCUUUAUGUUCAAUUUCUUCUAGGUCACGUCUGCUCAAGCCUAGCUCAAGUAAGAAAGGUUUAUAUGACAGUCACUGGCCAGGCAUCACGUAUCUUCAAAACAAGUUUGUUUCCUCAUUCUUCAGUCUGUCUGUCACCCAGCACACACCAUUCUUUUCAGUUGCCCAAUUUUGUUACAACACCCCCUCCUCACUAUUCCUGAAACAGAACGUUCUGUUUUUAACCACUGAUGCCAACUUAACUUCCCACCCUACUCAUCUUACACCUGCUCUAGACAAAGUUGUUGAAGGACUUAAAAAAAUACUUGUUCAAUUUCCCUUUGGCAUAACCACUGCUGGACUGCUGGGGUCACAUGGACCUAAGAUUUCCUUCCACAUGCCCUGUAUUGAUCUGGGGUCUGAUAAGCUGAUGCUAAUGGCAGAAGCAAUAGAAGUCCAAGGCACUAAAAUGUCCAGCAAGCAACACUGGGAAACAGAAGUAUUCAAGUACAGUAAUUUAUACAAUUUUACAUUCACAUUUAUUCAUCUAAUACAAUGGAAAUACAAAGGAAAAAGUUAAAGUGUCUCAAUAAGUAAAGGACAGAGCUAGCUUUUUUUGGAACUUUUUAAACGUUUCAUAUUUUACUCUUAAAACUACUGUUGUCCAACAACAUUUUAUAUAUCACAGUGUUUCCACAUCAAAACUGAUGGCAAAGUUACAUGUCCGCAGGGAACUUAAUUUUUUUUUUUCCUAAUUGCUAAUGCUGCAGUCAAAGCUGCUAAUAUCUUUUGCUUAAAGCACUAAUGACCUAUCAUAAGAAAGAGUUGCACCCCAGUCCCCUGGUAUUUUUCACUGGGUUCUAAAGAGCAAA
Molecule: RNA transcript, 5734 nt
Organism: Piliocolobus tephrosceles (Ugandan red Colobus)
Lineage: Eukaryota; Metazoa; Chordata; Mammalia; Primates; Cercopithecidae
Gene: RAD52
Gene name: RAD52 DNA repair protein
Exons: 11
Source: RefSeq, a predicted model, not a curated record